AUACGGAGGGUCCAAGCGUUAUCCGGAAUCAUUGGGUUUAAAGGGUCCGCAGGCGGUCAAUUAAGUCAGAGGUGAAAGCCCAUCGCUCAACGAUGGAACUGCCUUUGAUACUGGUUGACUUGAGUUAUACGGAAGUAGAUAGAAUAAGUAGUGUAGCGGUGAAAUGCAUAGAUAUUACUUAGAACACCGAUUGCGAAGGCAGUCUACUACGUAUAUACUGACGCUGAGGGACGAAAGCGUGGGGAGCGAACAGGAUUAGAAACCCGGGUAGUCC
RNAcentral lists this ribosomal RNA (274 nucleotides) under uncultured bacterium. RNAcentral describes it as "partial 16S ribosomal RNA". It matches the Rfam family "Bacterial small subunit ribosomal RNA", at positions 523 to 796 of the family's 1533-position model. The record is from RNAcentral.